UGGCAUAGCCACCAAACUGCGUGGAAUAAAUGGUCAUCCCUUGUCUCUCUUCAAUCUUAAUGCUUUCAUCACUAGGACAGGGAGGACUGGCUUGAAAUUGGUUCGGGAUUCGCAGAUAGACCUUCACUUUCUGCUGUAAGGAACCAUCUGCAGCAGGAAAAGCAGUGAUGGAGACAGGAGCAGUCAUGCCCAUUCCAGUGCCUUUGUCAUUGCUUCCUCCAACAUACUUGAGGAGCUUCAGCGCUGCUUCCUUCGAGGCUUCGUCGAAGGGCUUCCCCGUCACCUCCACCACAGCAAACUGCCCGCCUUCACACUCCCUCUCCUCGUAGCUGAGCUGCUCCUUCUCCCCCUUGCUCAGCACCCGGUAGGGCCACGUCUCCACCGUGCUCAGCAGGGAGUUCUUGAUCAUGCCCAACAUGUUGCCGUCUGGCCCGGCCCGGUCCGGCCCGUCACGCCCCGGGCGAAGUGGGAGGGCCCGCGGGCGUUGCGCCGCCCGCAUCGC
RNAcentral lists this long non-coding RNA (502 nucleotides) under Gallus gallus (chicken). The record is from RNAcentral. Lineage: Eukaryota; Metazoa; Chordata; Aves; Galliformes; Phasianidae.